Saimiri boliviensis boliviensis (Bolivian squirrel monkey) is the source of this 2579-nucleotide non-coding RNA. NCBI's taxonomy places the organism in Eukaryota, Metazoa, Chordata, Mammalia, Primates, Cebidae. The record is from RefSeq and is a predicted model, not a curated record.
AUGUCCAUCUCAUACCCUGCACUUUCGCCUCUGCAUUCCUGGUACCCAGAAGCGCCAACCACAAAGAUUUUGAGCCAGCGACAAAGGUUAAAUUCUUGCCUUCCUUCCUGUCGCUGUCACUUCUGGUGCCACUGCUCCUGGAGGAGCCCUGGCGCAGUGAGGGGAUCUCAGGCCUCCACAUUAUUGAGAAAUGAAGAGCUCGAGGAGCUCAAGGAGACUGGCCUUUCCCACUGUGAAAUUACCCCCUCUACACCUGGUUUACCAGCCUGGACAAAGGAGAGAACGGGAUGAUUUUCAGAGGAGUCCAGAACUUGCUAUCAACUCAGUGGGGGACUGGGUCAUCAGUGCCUUCUUUCCAGAGGGAGAGGACCAGGUAAACUCGGUGGAUUCCUGCGAACUUUGGCUUAUCUCUGAACCGUUGAGGAUAAUGAAGAGAGCAAAGAUGUGAAUGGACCUGAUCCACUCAAUAGCCAGAGCAACAAACAGCACUUUGCUUCUGGACUAUAUGAGUUGGAUAAAGAUGCCAAGAUCGCCCGUGAUGAGCUGUUACAGGCGCCAUGCAUGAUGGUCCGAGUAAAUAUCUCAGAUGAGCAGCUGAGCAGCAUCGCAGACAGGACCAUUCGGGAGGCUGAUCAGCAUGGGGACAGUAAUGCAUCUUUAUCACAGACUUUGCUAAGGUUUUGGAGAAGGUCGAUGCAGAACAGAAAAUGGGCAUUCCAUUUCUUCACUAAAGGGCAGACAGCAGACUGUUCCUUGUGGUCUAGUAUUUAAGAACUGGAACUUGACCGUCCUCCUGUCCACCAGCCCCACCCCCGCUCCUUCAUUCCCUUUCUUCCAAAGUGCUACUGCCGUUGCAUGACAACCCCAAGUGUGUUCUGUCAACGCAAACCUGCCUUUGUCUAUAAACAGGGCAUUACAGAAUGGUACACCCAGUCUAUUUCUGUUGGGUAUCCGUUCACCAGUUCUUCAUUUACAAAUACCAUCUUUCUGUGUUCUGCUGCUGAAUGCCACACAUCCGUCAAGUCUGAGAAAGUAAGAUGGGGAAUCAUGCUGCGGAACAAGCCAGCAGAGCUCUGUCACCGGAUGCGGACUGCACCCAUGCUGCCUUCCCUCUGGCGAGUUCGCCAGCAUGCAUCCUUUUUGUACGUCCCUUGCUUCCUACUUCUGUGUCAUUCAGCAUACUGGUCACCGAGUCAUGCAGUCUUUCUGCUUUUCGUUAAGCCUCAGAAUCUCCUCUGUUCUACUUGGCACCUCGAGCUAUGCCUGGUAUAUGUAUCUCUGACUUGGCAGGAUAGUUUGGUGGUGUGGUAGUUUUUAAUCUACCUUCAUUAUUCAAUGGGCCUCUGGGAUGUUGCCUCUCCAGGCGCUUUUUGGUAACCAACACUUCUCCCAGGAGCACGAGAUCAUCCUCUGCACUCUGUUUUGUCAUCAGAGGGCUGCUGGGUGGAGAUAUUCUUGGAAGGUGGCCUUGGUGAGAGGUGUGGAGUCAAGUCUUCUAGGUUGCUUGCCCACGUCACUCUCCCUCUGGUCUCUUUGAUUCUCAACUCUGAACCUAUGUGGCUCCUCUUGUUGGUGCAGUGUUGGCUAUUCAAAAAGUAGCAAUAUGCCUGCAGGUUUACUUAGUCUUGGGACACCGUUACCACCAGAACCGCUGCUCUGACAGUAUGCUUGGGGACUUUCUCAUGGCUUUUUGAACAAGGAGGCUGGGCACCCUAUACACCCUCCUGCUUUCACACCUCUGCAGUAUGGUUUAUGCCUCAGUGUUAUGUACACUGGAAUGCUUUUCACUUUACGUUUCCAAGUUAGAAAGAUUAGUGUUACCGAAGUGCCUAACUUAUCCCAGUCCAACAUAUUUAAAGAUUGUUCUCUGUGUGUUGAAGUUUUGCACAAAAUUCUUUAUGAAUUUCAAACUUGGCAGAUGUUAAUGCUGGAAGCCAUAGUCAGCUCCUAAUGCAAGUCCAAAGCAUGAUGGUUUUGUCAUUAGCUCCCGAGUUAACAUUAGUUUCCAUAGCUUAUCCUUUAGAAACAAGAGGUCUGGCACUAGUAGCACAACCUCAGGUGCAUUACAAGUGUUUGAGCGAAUCACAGCAACUUUCCUGCCAAAGUCAGCUUAGUUUAGACUUCCAUGAAUCAAGCUAUUGCCGUCCUAAUGUAUGUCUCUGUGAGUCUGUUCAUUCAUAUGUCUGCCCUUGGCUUUCUUGACUCAUUGCUUGCUUGCUUGUUUCCUUGCUUUGGAAACUAUUGAAGGUGUGUACAUAAUUCUUUAAGUAGGGGAUUGCUAAAAAAUACCACAGCAAAGCAAUGGAAAAAGGUGGAGAACAGGGAAGUAGCCAGGCUGGAUGGCUCAAAUAGAAAUGAAUGAGGAAUUCUUUAUGAAGUAUCAGUUGGACUUUGUGAUCAAGUGAUGUAGUAUAGGAAUUGUAUAAAAGGGAAUAUAUCUUAUACUGAACUGUUAGAAAGGUACUUCAGAGGCUUGUUGAUUUUCAUAAAGUUCCUAAGAUUAUAGCUUUUCCCCUCUUUUCCACAGUUGUGCCUUAUUGUUCCAUUAAAAUUGUAUCUUCAGUCCAUCAGUAAAUACU